GAUGAACGCUGGCGGCGUGCCUAAUACAUGCAAGUCGAGCGAACGGACGAGAAGCUUGCUUCUCUGAUGUUAGCGGCGGACGGGUGAGUAACACGUGGAUAACCUACCUAUAAGACUGGGAUAACUUCGGGAAACCGGAGCUAAUACCGGAUAAUAUUUUGAACCGCAUGGUUCAAAAGUGAAAGACGGUCUUGCUGUCACUUAUAGAUGGAUCCGCGCUGCAUUAGCUAGUUGGUAAGGUAACGGCUUACCAAGGCAACUAUGCAUAGCCGACCUGAGAGGGUGAUCGCCCACACUGGAACUGAGCCACGGUCCUGACUCCUACGGGAGGCAGCAGUAGGGAAUCUUCCGCAAUGGGCGAAAGCCUGACGGAGCAACGCCGCGUGAGUGAUGAAGGUCUUCGGAUCGUAAUACUCUGUUAUUAGGGAAGAACAUAUGUGUAAGUAACUGUGCACAUCUUGACGGUACCUAAUCAGAAAGCCCCGGCUAACUACGUG
RNAcentral lists this ribosomal RNA (497 nucleotides) under uncultured bacterium. RNAcentral describes it as "partial 16S ribosomal RNA". It matches the Rfam family "Bacterial small subunit ribosomal RNA", at positions 28 to 507 of the family's 1533-position model. The record is from RNAcentral.